GCUACGGUGGAACCACCCCGACGAGACGCGCCGUACCGGGUUGGCAAAGACGACGCACC
Streptomyces sp. Termitarium-T10T-6 is the source of this 59-nucleotide non-coding RNA. The record is from Rfam. NCBI's taxonomy places the organism in Bacteria, Bacillati, Actinomycetota, Actinomycetes, Kitasatosporales, Streptomycetaceae.